AAGGCUAAAUACUCCUGACUGACCGAUAGUGAACCAGUACCGUGAGGGAAAGGCGAAAAGAACCCCGGCGAGGGGAGUGAAAAAGAACCUGAAACCGUGUACGUACAAGCAGUGGGAGCCUCUUUAUGGGGUGACUGCGUACCUUUUGUAUAAUGGGUCAGCGACUUAUAUUCUGUAGCAAGGUUAACCGAAUAGGGGAGCCGAAGGGAAACCGAGUCUUAACUGGGCGUUAAGUUGCAGGGUAUAGACCCGAAACCCGGUGAUCUAGCCAUGGGCAGGUUGAAGGUUGGGUAACACUAACUGGAGGACCGAACCGACUAAUGUUGAAAAAUUAGCGGAUGACUUGUGGCUGGGGGUGAAAGGCCAAUCAAACCGGGAGAUAGCUGGUUCUCCCCGAAAGCUAUUUAGGUAGCGCCUCGUGAAUUCAUCUCCGGGGGUAGAGCACUGUUUCGGCAAGGGGGUCAUCCCGACUUACCAACCCGAUGCAAACUGCGAAUACCGGAGAAUGUUAUCACGGGAGACACACGGCGGGUGCUAACGUCCGUCGUGAAGAGGGAAACAACCCAGACCGCCAGCUAAGGUCCCAAAGUCAUGGUUAAGUGGGAAACGAUGUGGGAAGGCCCAGACAGCCAGGAUGUUGGCUUAGAAGCAGCCAUCAUUUAAAGAAAGCGUAAUAGCUCACUGGUCGAGUCGGCCUGCGCGGAAGAUGUAACGGGGCUAAACCAUGCACCGAAGCUGCGGCAGCGACGCUUAUGCGUUGUUGGGUAGGGGAGCGUUCUGUAAGCCUGUGAAGGUGUGCUGUGAGGCAUGCUGGAGGUAUCAGAAGUGCGAAUGCUGACAUAAGUAACGAUAAAGCGGGUGAAAAGCCCGCUCGCCGGAAGACCAAGGGUUCCUGUCCAACGUUAAUCGGGGCAGGGUGAGUCGACCCCUAAGGCGAGGCCGAAAGGCGUAGUCGAUGGGAAACAGGUUAAUAUUCCUGUACUUGGUGUUACUGCGAAGGGGGGACGGAGAAGGCUAUGUUGGCCGGGCGACGGUUGUCCCGGUUUAAGCGUGUAGGCUGGUUUUCCAGGCAAAUCCGGAAAAUCAAGGCUGAGGCGUGAUGACGAGGCACUACGGUGCUGAAGCAACAAAUGCCCUGCUUCCAGGAAAAGCCUCUAAGCAUCAGGUAACAUCAAAUCGUACCCCAAACCGACACAGGUGGUCAGGUAGAGAAUACCAAGGCGCUUGAGAGAACUCGGGUGAAGGAACUAGGCAAAAUGGUGCCGUAACUUCGGGAGAAGGCACGC
RNAcentral lists this ribosomal RNA (1286 nucleotides) under Escherichia coli. RNAcentral describes it as "partial 23S ribosomal RNA". It matches the Rfam family "Bacterial large subunit ribosomal RNA", at positions 462 to 1751 of the family's 2925-position model. Lineage: Bacteria; Pseudomonadati; Pseudomonadota; Gammaproteobacteria; Enterobacterales; Enterobacteriaceae. The record is from RNAcentral.